Molecule: ribosomal RNA, 433 nt
Filed under: uncultured bacterium
Lineage: Bacteria
Description: partial 16S ribosomal RNA
Rfam family: Bacterial small subunit ribosomal RNA
Source: RNAcentral
AACGAACGCUGGCGGCAUGCCUAACACAUGCAAGUCGAACGAGGCCUUCGGGUCUAGUGGCGCACGGGUGCGUAACGCGUGGGAACCUGCCCUUAGGUUCGGAAUAACUCCCCGAAAGGGGUGCUAAUACCGGAUAAUGUCUUCGGACCAAAGAUUUAUCGCCUUUGGAUGGGCCCGCGUUGGAUUAGCUAGUUGGUAGGGUAAAAGCCUACCAAGGCGACGAUCCAUAGCUGGUCUGAGAGGAUGAUCAGCCACACUGGGACUGAGACACGGCCCAGACUCCUACGGGAGGAAGCAGUGGGGAAUAUUGGACAAUGGGCGAAAGACUGAUCCAGCAAUGCCGCGUGAGUGAUGAAGGCCUUAGGGUUGUAAAGCUCUUUUACCCGGGAUGAUAAUGACAGUACCGGGAGAAUAAGCUCCGGCUAACUCCGUG